UACGAAGGGGGCUAGCGUUGCUCGGAAUCACUGGGCGUAAAGCGCACGUAGGCGGCUUUUUAAGUCAGGGGUGAAAUCCUGGAGCUCAACUCCAGGACUGCCUUUGAUACUGGGAAGCUUGAGUCCGGGAGAGGUGAGUGGAACUCCGAGUGUAGAGGUGAAAUUCGUAGAUAUUCGGAAGAACACCAGUGGCGAAGGCGGCUCACUGGCCCGGUACUGACGCUGAGGAGCGAAAGCGUGGGGAGCGAACAGG
RNAcentral lists this ribosomal RNA (253 nucleotides) under uncultured bacterium. RNAcentral describes it as "partial 16S ribosomal RNA". It matches the Rfam family "Bacterial small subunit ribosomal RNA", at positions 524 to 776 of the family's 1533-position model. The record is from RNAcentral.